This 381-nucleotide ribosomal RNA is filed under the name Triticum aestivum (bread wheat). Its description in RNAcentral is "partial small subunit ribosomal RNA". The record is from RNAcentral. Lineage: Eukaryota; Viridiplantae; Streptophyta; Magnoliopsida; Poales; Poaceae.
AUGAUCCGGGCCACGGUCAGUAGUUUACCGCUGACUAGUGAGAGUGACUGGGAUUCCUGGGGGCUUAAUCAAAAUGGCAAAUUCUCGACUAAGUCAGUCUAUAAAUGGCUGGAGAGAUCUAUUAGUGGGUGCCACUGUAGAUGGAUCUGGAGAGCUAAAAUACCUCUCAAAAUCAAAAUCUUCCUUUGGCAAAUGUCGCAAGAUGUUGUGCUUACUCCACAGGUUAUGCGCAGAAGGAAAUGGCCUGGUAAUCCUUGUUGUUCCUUCUGCAAAGAGGUUGAGAGCUUGCGGCACCUAUUUUUCACCUGCCCUAUAGCGAAAUGCCUGUGGAGAUCUAUUGGGGUCGUGUUGGGAACUGAUAGAUGUCCCAAUAGCUACUAG